This is a long non-coding RNA of Xenopus laevis (African clawed frog), 882 nucleotides long. RefSeq lists it as uncharacterized. The record is from RefSeq and is a predicted model, not a curated record. The transcript has 8 exons. NCBI's taxonomy places the organism in Eukaryota, Metazoa, Chordata, Amphibia, Anura, Pipidae.
AAGGAGCCGCGCUUCCCGAUUGAAACGCUUUACGCACGUUACGCUUCGAAUGUUCUGCGCCUGCGCUGGCUGCUUCCUAUAUAUGUCAGCGAACAACGGAAGUGCGGUCUUUCACAGCGGUGCGGCCGAAGCGAAAUGGGACACGGGUUGCUGUGGAUACUUGAGCUUAUCCCAGUGGGAAGCAAAGAUCAUGAUCGGGAGAUGAUCCCCUUUCACUGAUGGGUCUGAACGUAAAACUUGGCUUUACAAUCAGUUAAAAGAAAUCAUGGGGCACCUCUAUAUACCUGCCCGAACUUAUUAGGGAGGCUGAAGCCUGACUGAAGGAACAAAGCAAGAAGUUCCGUGAGUCUCUGCUGAAGACGUCGUUACUCCCAUGUCCAGCCAGUGACACGUCUAUGGGCUAUGGAAGUUUCAGGAAUCUCUGCUGAAGGCGUUUACACCCAUAUCCAGCCAGUAAAUCUUCUAUGGACUAUGGAAGUUCCAUGACUUUCAGCUGAAGACGUCUUUACUCCAAUAUCCAGCCAGUGAUUAUGGGAUAUGAAAGUUCCAUGAUUCUCAGCUGGAGACGUCGUUACUCAUGUCCAGCCAGUGACACAUGUUUGUGAGUAACAGUAAUACCAGUCGAUCCAUGGGAACAAUAGAACAUAUUCCUCAUGGAUCGACAGUGUUGACUAAAACCUGAUUUAAGCCAAAUGAGUCUGAUGCAGAGAGUGGAUCCAGAUUCUUUAUGAACUUGGUUCUGAGCUUUACAUUGAACCCCGAGAUAAUUCCACUUUUCUUUGCAGCUGCACAAGGUGCAACACUGACAACUGACCAGUGGAUGGCGCUACAGAUACUAAAGUGUCUUUAAUUUGUUAAUAAAGAUUUCAUAUUCAACUUUAA